AAACCCGAACCCAUAAAAAUGCGUUGAAGCUCCCUCGCCUCAUCAGUGUGUACCGUCACCAUUUCAGAAGCUCCCUCGCCUCGCCUCCUUCUCCUCCUUCAGUGGAAUGUCUUCUGCCACUACUUAUGAGUCCACUUCUAGCGGCCAUAUGUGCAAUAUGGAUUGGUGUGUGGAAAGGACCUCCCUAUCUAUCCGUAAUUUUGGUAGGUGGUUCUAUGGAUGUCAGCAUUGGUCGUCGGUUAGUAUUACGUGAUUCUUUUGAUUUGUUUUUCUAAUUAUUAUCAUGAAGACUGUUAUAGCUUUUAUAUAUUAUAUUCAUUCUUUAGCACCAUGCAAAAUAUUUAUUGUGUCCUUCAAUGUUGUAUGCAGGACUCCAAUCAGGCAUGUAAGUUCUUCAAAUGGUUGGAUAAGAACACAUGCCCACGUGGCCGUGCAACAACACCACUUGUCCAUGAAAGGUUUACGAGAUAUAAGGCCGAGGCAGCGGUUGCAAGAAAUGAAAGGGAUGAGGCUCAUGCAAUGGAAGCAGUAGCAUGGGAGCAGUUAAGGAUAUCAAAGCGCAAGGCUGAAAAAACUAAGCUCGCACUCCGGAUUGCCGAAGACAAGGUCUACAAGUAUAGGCUAGCUUUACUUUUGUCAUGGACUGUAGUUGGGGUUUAUUUUGUAUUCUCUGCUAUUUUUGGGGGCCAUGGCCAUACAUAACUACGUGUGCCAUGACCCAUUUACGGUCACGUGUGUUAUGUACAUUAAUGAUUACAUGCCCUGUUUGAGAGCGAUUUCAUUGUUUUGUCCAGUUUGCCUGUGGACUUAGUUAGCAUUUUGGAGGCUGAUGCCACUGGUUUGUAUGUGAAUAGGCUUUGUCCUAAAACUCUUUUGGCUG
Molecule: long non-coding RNA, 880 nt
Organism: Quercus robur (English oak)
Lineage: Eukaryota; Viridiplantae; Streptophyta; Magnoliopsida; Fagales; Fagaceae
Exons: 2
Source: RefSeq, a predicted model, not a curated record